This 520-nucleotide ribosomal RNA is filed under the name uncultured bacterium. Its description in RNAcentral is "bacterial SSU rRNA". It matches the Rfam family "Bacterial small subunit ribosomal RNA", at positions 8 to 524 of the family's 1533-position model. The record is from RNAcentral.
AGAGUUUAGUCAUGGCUCAGAUUGAACGCUGGCGGUAUGCUUAAUACAUGCAAGUCGAGCGAGAAGAUUUGUGCUUGCACAGAUCGGACAGCGGCGCACGGGUGAGUAACGCGUACGCAAUCUACCUUUCACAGAGGGAUAGCCCCGGGAAACUGGGAUUAAUACCUCAUAGUCUCUGGUGUCGCAUGGCACUAAGAGUAAAGCUCAGGCGGUGAAAGAUGAGCGUGCGUAAUAUUAGCUAGUUGGUGAGGUAACGGCUCACCAAGGCGAUGAUAUUUAGGGGGCGUGAGAGCGUGAUCCCCCACAUGGGUACUGAGACACGGACCCAACUCCUACGGGAGGCAGCAGUAAGGAAUAUUGGGCAAUGGAGGCAACUCUGACCCAGCCAUCCCGCGUGCAGGAUGACGGCGCUACGCGUUGUAAACUGCUUUUGUAUAAGAUGAAACCUGGGGAUUUAUCCUCAGCUGACGUUAUUAUAAGAAUAAGCACCGGCUAACUCCGUGCCAGCAGCCGCGGUAAU